AAUCUGGUGCUAAAUAGGUAUGGAGGUUCAAAUCCUCUCCGAGGCA
This 46-nucleotide transfer RNA is filed under the name Gleichenia japonica. Its description in RNAcentral is "partial tRNA-Leu". The record is from RNAcentral. Lineage: Eukaryota; Viridiplantae; Streptophyta; Polypodiopsida; Gleicheniales; Gleicheniaceae.